This 2319-nucleotide long non-coding RNA is filed under the name Homo sapiens (human). RNAcentral's name for it is "HSALNT0309592". Lineage: Eukaryota; Metazoa; Chordata; Mammalia; Primates; Hominidae. The record is from RNAcentral.
GUGAGCUACCAUGCCAUUUACCUUUUUUAUGCUUAAAAUAAAUGUAUAAAAUAUUAAAAAUCAUUUUCCUCCCAAGAACCAAACGUGUAUUACUAAAUAUGUUUAGUUGACCAUGCAGGCUAUUUGAGAGACAGUGGGAGAUGCUGAAAUAUUCAAGCACCACUGUUUUGGUGGGUAUCGGAAGAUUUUCAAUCAAUAGUUUACUUAUUUGGUUAUGUAUUAGGUUGUAUUGGGUGGGGCCAAUCAUUAUGUGACUAUUUUUUUCUUCAGAGUGGUGAUUGAAAAGCAGCCCCCAACCGUUUUCUCCGAGAGGUGCAUGCUGAGCCUGCCUGCAGCUUACCCCCAACCCCCAGCCCCUAGCCCGGCUCUCCUUGUCUUACAUGAGUCAGUUUCCUUCUGCUGCUAUUCUGGACAAAAACCUCUAUCAGGACAGAGACCUUGUCUUGUUCACCCUAUUCCUGGCAUCAAGGCUGUGUCUGACAUGUAAUGGGGAUGGCUGUUUGUUUGGUGGUGGUUGAGAUGACCAAGAUGUUCUUGACCUGUGUAGGGUGGUAGUGGAGAAACAGGCACAGGCCCUUGUGGUGUAGUUGCGAAAAAGGAGCUCACACUAAUGGGAACCAGAUUGUAUCAUUGGCUGAGUAUACAGCAGAUGCGUUCCCCUUUGUUAUUUUAUCACUUGCUUACCUGGAAGCUCUGGUCUGACUUUAGGAACAUGCCACACACUUGGAUAAACAUGGACUCCUUUACUAGAGAUUUAUAGAAUCUUUUUCCUAGAGCCAUUUGAGAAGCACUUGUCCAAGACGUGCUAUUUUAUAGGCUAUUUUGAUGUAAGGGAAAAGACGUAUCCUGGAUCUUCCAGAAAGCAUGGAAUUAUGGCUGCGUAUUAGGAAGAGGCCUGGCUUUCCUGUGGGAAUUGAACAGAAGACAGGCAUCUCUCAUGUUCUGGUUGUUGCAGUUUUGCUUCUUCUGUUCAUUGAAUUAGCGUUUCAGAGCUCUCCAUGUGUGAGUUUCCAUUUGGAAAUGGUAUAGUCAUCAUCGUAAUGUAGCAGUCAUUCGUUAAUUUUUAUGAGCCACUUGUGACGUUUCAGGAAGCUGACAGCCGACAUGGAUUAGCUCAUUUAUACCUAGGGAAACAGAGGCACCAGAGGCCACAAAAGCUAUUCAGGGUCACACAGCCUAUGUGUGAGGUUUAUUAUGUAAAGCCGUGCCCCUUUUCCUGUUGGAUGGUGAAGUUCCUUCCUUCUGGCUUUAAUGUUUCCCCCUUGUUUUAUUAGGAAAGGAGGAAAGGAAAUUCAGUUAUAGUGAAGUUCUAAUCUGCCAUCUUAACCUGGAGUUUGGCUUUUUUCUUGUUCUGUGUUCCUUUUGUACCUUACUUAGAUCUCGGUUAAAUGAAACCAUGAGAGACCGUGGCCUGCCCAAGGAAAUCGUGUUAAGUGCUCACUUCACUGCGGGUCAGAACCCCGGAGUGUUUCACCCAUGGAAAUAGUCAGCAGUCGCCACAUGCAGGGUCCUCACUCACUGCUGGUACCUUUGUGUAGUAGUUACUUUGUAUUUUACAAUGUAAAUUAAAAAAAAAAGUUGGGAGAGGAAGUGAAAUCUGAUUUGGCUAAAUUUUGUAAACAAAGAUGUUACCAAUAAAACCUUUUUCCCAGUGUAUAAAUAAUAUGUGGUCCAAAAUUCCUUUUAAAUGUCACAAUACAAAACUUUUCCAAAACCCCAACAUUAGUGACUGACUUCAGUAUUUUUAUCAAAGUUAAAUGAGCCAAACUUAUUUUUUACAAAUUUCUGGCGCAUUCAUGAUUGAAAUUUUAAAUAUUCUCCUAGGGAAAAACGAGGGCUGAUUGUCCUUUUCAAGGUAUCCAUCUCAUCCCACUUGUUAAAAAUAAUUAGGGAAUAAUACAGUUUGCAGAUUUUCUCCCGAUGUCAUCAUGGCACUCAGUAACAAGGAAUAUUGUAGAUGAAUUUUGAAAAUGUUUUUCCUGGAAGAGAAUCCCAAACGUGUGGCCGAAAGGGACCCAGGACCUGCCAGCCAUGCUCCUCCUGUCUUUCUCCCUUCCAGUCUGAACCCCACAGCGCUGGGCGGUUGACGAGGUGUGGCCAGCUUGCAUCUGCUGAAAGAACCGGGGUGGCCCCACUGCAUCUUGAUCAGACACUGCCAUGAGGUCCCUCCCCUCUCUGAUGGCAAAGGGAAACAGUGGGCUCUACACAUGGAGCUUUGAAGUCAAGAGUCAUUUUCAUCCUUAGCUCAGGCAUGAAAAAAAAAAAAAGAAUAGUAAAAAUUAAAAACCCUUUAAAAAGAUAAAAAUCAACAGUAAAAAA